GCGCCUAUACCUCCCCCCUGAGCGCUCCUCUUCCCCCCGGUCGAACCCUAGCCGUCACUUGUUCCCCCUCGCGCCGUUUCUCGCCCGCCUGCAUACACCCGAAGCUACUGUCGCCGCGCCAUCGUCACCGUCGCGGCCACCGUCGUCUCCUUCACGCGGCAGGACGUCCAGGAGGACCGCGGCCGUCGGCUUCGUCCGUACCGGGCAUCAGCUCAAGCCGGGGCAGCUCGUACGCUCGCCAUCGCUGUCUUCUUCAUCGCGUACAUCGUCGGCCGCCGUCGUUGAUUCCCACCACUUCGGUCCACCCCCGGCUUCCUCGUCUGCGCAACCGAGCUCGCCGUGAGCUCCUCUUCCAAAACCCUCUCUCCCCCUCUCGAUUUCGUCGCCAUAGCCGCCGUCCCUGAGAUCGUCCGAGCUCCCGCGUACGCGUACGCGUACGUGGUGCUCCUGCCCAUGGCCACACCUGCUUGCUGCUGCCGCACGUUUGGGCCACGCCCUGGCUGCGCUCGCUCGCCUCCGGCCUCGCCUAGCUGCGCCCUGGCCAUGCCCCCUGCGCCUCGCCCGCGCCUGGCCUCGAGGUCGUCUACUGCUGCGCCCGCUGUUGACCCUGUCCGCCGCCGCCGUUCGCGCCCGCCGGGGCCGCGCCUGCCUUCGCCCGGUCGUGUCGGCGUUACCCCGCAGCAUCCCGCUCUCACCGCCGCGUGCUGAUGCUUGCUGCUGCGUACUGCUCUUGGUCCUGCUGCUGCCGCUUGUAGAUGUUCUGCUCCUGCCCGUGCUACUUCGCCUAUCACUGCUCCUCUGCUUGCUGCUUCUGCUUCCGCGGCGGCCUAACGUGCUGCUGCUUUCUUCUACUAGCUAUUGCUGCUGCUCGAUGCUUGCCGCUGCGUUGCUUGCUACUGCUGCUCAUACUCUGGUGCUACACUGCCUUGCUAGCCAUCGUUGUUGCUGCUCUAUGGCUGCAGCCGUGUGUGCGUAUGUGUUGUGUAUGGCCGGCUUAAUUGUAGGCCUAAUUAGUUUAGGCUAAUUUAGAUUACUUAGGUAUUCUUUUUUAGGUUAGUUGCUAGUCUAUGGAAAGUGGGACCCCCCUCCAUUAUUUUACUUAGAUGAUUUAUUGACACAUGUGUCAGUGACAUGUGGGCCACCACCUCCGCUUUUGAACAGUCAAUUUGACUUGGCCAAGUCGGAUUAAAAUUUGAACACAAAAUUACGGGUUAUUGUUAAAAUUUUGAAAAAUCAUAUAAAAUAAUUUGUAGCUCGCAUGAAAAAGGUUUAUACAUGAAAGUUGCUCAGAACAACGAGACGAAUCCGGACACACGGUCCGUUCGUCCGCCACAUGUACCUAGCAUAACAAACGUUGAACCUUUCCCCUCCGGUUCAUCUGUAUGACAGACGUCCGGAACCGGGAAAACUUUCCCGGAUGCUAUCCCCCUUUACCGGUAUCGCGUAGCACUGCGUUAGAACACCUCUAGCACCACUUAUUGUCUUGUUAUGCAUAUGUUUGCGUGUAUUUACUGUUUCUUCCCCCUCUUCUCUCCGGUAGACCCCGAGACCGCUGCUGAUGUCCCUGUGAUCGACUACGUCGACGACAACCCUUCUUCCCUUUUCAGCGGAGCUUCCAGGCAAGCCCCCCCCCUUUGAUCAUCCCGAUAACGCUCAUUCCAUUCUCUCAUGCUUGCAUUAGAUUUUGCUAUUGUAAUUGAUUGCUCCUAUUCUGAUGCUUAGCCUGCUUUUGUAACCUGCUCAUUGUACCUUACCUGCUUAUCCUAAACUGCUUAGUACAGGUUGGUUAGUGAUCCAUCAGUGACCCCCCACCAUGUCCUUGUUGCCCUGCUUCAUCAUCGACGACUCGAUCAGCGUAAUCGACGACCAGAGCCCGACACCUCACAUCACAUCAUGCCCCUUUUGUUGCUCGACUCUGCAGAGCUACUAUCGAAUGCCGAGGGUGAUCCCUCAUAACGCACUCAUGAUGAUAAUUCUGUAGUGUAGCUAUUCGGUCGUGGUCAUCGAGGGUGAUUUCCUCUUUCACCAUUCCCGAUACGGCUCUGUCAUUCAACACCUCAAGUGUGAACCUCGAGGGUGGUCCCUCUUUCACCUUGAUGAUUACAUUGAGUGGAAUCCACCGGGCGUGAUUCCUCGGGUUUUCCCCUUGAUGUCUGGACACACAGUUACCUUGACUUUACUUGAGACCAUUGUUGAAGUCGGGUCGGCCCUGAGGGGUACCCGCGAGUUGAUGUGAAAGUCGGGCGGGCCCGUAGAGCACCCAUGAGUUUUCCACGUGGCACGGCCGCGCAGUCUGGGCCCUUGCCGCAAGUCCAUGAGACGGGGAGACGGGGUCACCUUAUCGUGAGUCGUUUCUGCGAGCCCCCAAUGCACUAAUAGGUUUGGGUAUUUGUUCUGAGUUGGCCUCUGGCCUUUACGCACUAACCACCACGCGAGAAUAGGUAUGGGCCUCAGCGUCGUGGUAUCAGCCGAAGCUUUGUCAGACGUCCAGUUCAGCAGUGCGGCACGGCUGGGCCAGCACCAUCCUGUAGUGAUGGAGCCUGGACCCGCCCUGUAUGCAACGAUCCAGAGUGCAACGGGCGAUGGGCCCAGACCCCGGAGUGCUUAGGAUGUAGACCGGCGGGGACCUCUCUGCUGAGCCUAGGUGGGCUGCGACGUGUUGAUCUUCUGAGGCUGGGCAUUGACCCUAGAAAGGUGUCCGGCCAGAGUGAUCGAGCGUGUUGGGUACGUGGUGCACCCCUGCAGGGAAGAUAUAUAUUCGAAUACCGUGUCCGCAGUAAUGGACGUUCAGACUUAUAUCUUGAUCUUAUAUAACUAGAAAUGGAUACUUGAGAUAUGUGAUGGAUAUGUGGCUCCGAGAUUGCUUUCUCGCAGGGAGUCGAGGAAGGAUCUCUGGGCGUUGAUGUUACAACAUGUUUGUUAAAUAUUAAAUUGCUAUUUUUUACUCUUCUACAUGCUGCAAGAUGCUCGGAGCUGCUUGAAGAUGUUAGUCUUCGAUAGGCUAGGCCUUCCCCCUCUAUUCUGGCAUUCUGCAGUUCAGUCCACAGAUACAAACCUUCCAUUUGAUACCAAUGCAUACUUAGUAUAGAUCUGAUGCUUGCGAGUACUUUGGAUGAGUACUCACGGUUGCUUUGCUACCCCUUUUCCCCCUUCUUUCUUCUUUCCGGUUGAUGCAACCAGAUGGUGGAUCCCUAGAGCCAAAUGCCACCGCCGAUGGAUGCUGUUACGUGAAGACCGCCGAAGACCAGGAGUAGUUAGGAGGUCCCAGGCAGGAGGCCUUGCCUCUUCGAUCGUGUUGCUUUUGUGCUAGCCUUCUUAAGGCAUCCUUGUUAACCUUAUGUCUGUACUCAGAUAUUGUUGCUUUUGCUGACUCUUGUGUAUCGAGCUAUGUAUUCGAGCCCUCGAGGCCCCUGGCUUGUAAUAUAAAGCUUGUAUUAUUUUAUUUGUGUCUAGAGUUGUGUUGUG
Molecule: long non-coding RNA, 3465 nt
Filed under: Triticum aestivum (bread wheat)
Lineage: Eukaryota; Viridiplantae; Streptophyta; Magnoliopsida; Poales; Poaceae
Description: long non-coding RNA (TAES_LNC027434)
Source: RNAcentral